GCCCGCUUGGCUUAGUGGUAAAGCGCAUCACUAGUACCUAGUGUGAUGAUGAGAUCACUGGUUCGAUUCCAGUAGCGGGCA
Molecule: non-coding RNA, 81 nt
Organism: Annulohypoxylon bovei var. microspora
Lineage: Eukaryota; Fungi; Ascomycota; Sordariomycetes; Xylariales; Hypoxylaceae
Source: the annotation of a GenBank genome assembly